Molecule: ribosomal RNA, 264 nt
Filed under: uncultured archaeon
Lineage: Archaea
Description: partial 16S ribosomal RNA
Rfam family: Archaeal small subunit ribosomal RNA
Source: RNAcentral
ACACGACUACAUUAGAUACCCCUGUAGUCCCAGCCCUAAACGAUGCGCGUUAGGUGUAUCGGUGACCACGAGUCACCGAGGUGCCGAAGGGAAACCGUGAAACGUGCCGCCUGGGAAGUACGGUCGCAAGGCUGAAACUUAAAGGAAUUGGCGGGGAGCACCACAGCGGGUGGAGCCUGCGGUUUAAUUGGACUCGACGCCGGGAAGCUCACCGGAUAAGACAGCGGAAUGAUUGCCGGGCUGAAGACCCUGCAUGACCAGCUG